This 154-nucleotide long non-coding RNA is filed under the name Anas platyrhynchos platyrhynchos (common mallard). RNAcentral's name for it is "lncRNA (ENSAPLG00000019709.1)". Lineage: Eukaryota; Metazoa; Chordata; Aves; Anseriformes; Anatidae. The record is from RNAcentral.
GCUGGAUCUGCCUGGGACACCAAAUUCUUGUUCUGACAUGAGGAUUGUGUCUGACCAGCAGUGAUAUCUAUUUGAAGCAAGGAAUAUCAUCCUUCCAAGGACAACUUCAAGCUCUUCCCUAAGCAAGUCAUCCCAGAUACCAAAUACGACCUGA